This 308-nucleotide ribosomal RNA is filed under the name Rutstroemia bulgarioides. Its description in RNAcentral is "eukaryotic LSU rRNA". It matches the Rfam family "Eukaryotic large subunit ribosomal RNA", at positions 301 to 629 of the family's 3401-position model. Lineage: Eukaryota; Fungi; Ascomycota; Leotiomycetes; Helotiales; Rutstroemiaceae. The record is from RNAcentral.
AUAUUUCAUCUAAAGCUAAAUAUUGGCCAGAGACCGAUAGCGCACAAGUAGAGUGAUCGAAAGAUGAAAAGCACUUUGGAAAGAGAGUUAAACAGUACGUGAAAUUGUUGAAAGGGAAGCGCUUGCAAUCAGACUUGCGCCUGGGUAAUCAUCCGGGGUUCUCUCCGGUGCACUUGCUCAGGCUCCAGGCCAGCAUCGGUUUGGGUGGUUGGAUAAAGGCCUUGGGAAUGUGGCUUCGGGGGGUGUUAUAGCCCUCGGUGCCAUGCAGCCUACCUGGACCGAGGACCGCGCUUCGGCUAGGAUGCUGG